RNAcentral lists this ribosomal RNA (2640 nucleotides) under Escherichia coli. RNAcentral's name for it is "bacterial LSU rRNA". It matches the Rfam family "Bacterial large subunit ribosomal RNA", at positions 296 to 2925 of the family's 2925-position model. Lineage: Bacteria; Pseudomonadati; Pseudomonadota; Gammaproteobacteria; Enterobacterales; Enterobacteriaceae. The record is from RNAcentral. RNAcentral also lists the same sequence under 1 other name.
AGCCCAGAGCCUGAAUCAGUGUGUGUGUUAGUGGAAGCGUCUGGAAAGGCGCGCGAUACAGGGUGACAGCCCCGUACACAAAAAUGCACAUAUUGUGAGCUCGAUGAGUAGGGCGGGACACGUGGUAUCCUGUCUGAAUAUGGGGGGACCAUCCUCCAAGGCUAAAUACUCCUGACUGACCGAUAGUGAACCAGUACCGUGAGGGAAAGGCGAAAAGAACCCCGGCGAGGGGAGUGAAAAAGAACCUGAAACCGUGUACGUACAAGCAGUGGGAGCCUCUUUAUGGGGUGACUGCGUACCUUUUGUAUAAUGGGUCAGCGACUUAUAUUCUGUAGCAAGGUUAACCGAAUAGGGGAGCCGAAGGGAAACCGAGUCUUAACUGGGCGUUAAGUUGCAGGGUAUAGACCCGAAACCCGGUGAUCUAGCCAUGGGCAGGUUGAAGGUUGGGUAACACUAACUGGAGGACCGAACCGACUAAUGUUGAAAAAUUAGCGGAUGACUUGUGGCUGGGGGUGAAAGGCCAAUCAAACCGGGAGAUAGCUGGUUCUCCCCGAAAGCUAUUUAGGUAGCGCCUCGUGAAUUCAUCUCCGGGGGUAGAGCACUGUUUCGGCAAGGGGGUCAUCCCGACUUACCAACCCGAUGCAAACUGCGAAUACCGGAGAAUGUUAUCACGGGAGACACACGGCGGGUGCUAACGUCCGUCGUGAAGAGGGAAACAACCCAGACCGCCAGCUAAGGUCCCAAAGUCAUGGUUAAGUGGGAAACGAUGUGGGAAGGCCCAGACAGCCAGGAUGUUGGCUUAGAAGCAGCCAUCAUUUAAAGAAAGCGUAAUAGCUCACUGGUCGAGUCGGCCUGCGCGGAAGAUGUAACGGGGCUAAACCAUGCACCGAAGCUGCGGCAGCGACACUAUGUGUUGUUGGGUAGGGGAGCGUUCUGUAAGCCUGUGAAGGUGGCCUGUGAGGGUUGCUGGAGGUAUCAGAAGUGCGAAUGCUGACAUAAGUAACGAUAAAGCGGGUGAAAAGCCCGCUCGCCGGAAGACCAAGGGUUCCUGUCCAACGUUAAUCGGGGCAGGGUGAGUCGACCCCUAAGGCGAGGCCGAAAGGCGUAGUCGAUGGGAAACAGGUUAAUAUUCCUGUACUUGGUGUUACUGCGAAGGGGGGACGGAGAAGGCUAUGUUGGCCGGGCGACGGUUGUCCCGGUUUAAGCGUGUAGGCUGGUUUUCCAGGCAAAUCCGGAAAACCAAGGCUGAGGCGUGAUGACGAGGCACUACGGUGCUGAAGCGACAAAUGCCCUGCUUCCAGGAAAAGCCUCUAAGCAUCAGGUAACAUCAAAUCGUACCCCAAACCGACACAGGUGGUCAGGUAGAGAAUACCAAGGCGCUUGAGAGAACUCGGGUGAAGGAACUAGGCAAAAUGGUGCCGUAACUUCGGGAGAAGGCACGCUGAUAUGUAGGUGAAGCGACUUGCUCGUGGAGCUGAAAUCAGUCGAAGAUACCAGCUGGCUGCAACUGUUUAUUAAAAACACAGCACUGUGCAAACACGAAAGUGGACGUAUACGGUGUGACGCCUGCCCGGUGCCGGAAGGUUAAUUGAUGGGGUUAGCGGUAACGCGAAGCUCUUGAUCGAAGCCCCGGUAAACGGCGGCCGUAACUAUAACGGUCCUAAGGUAGCGAAAUUCCUUGUCGGGUAAGUUCCGACCUGCACGAAUGGCGUAAUGAUGGCCAGGCUGUCUCCACCCGAGACUCAGUGAAAUUGAACUCGCUGUGAAGAUGCAGUGUACCCGCGGCAAGACGGAAAGACCCCGUGAACCUUUACUAUAGCUUGACACUGAACAUUGAGCCUUGAUGUGUAGGAUAGGUGGGAGGCUUUGAAGUGUGGACGCCAGUCUGCAUGGAGCCGACCUUGAAAUACCACCCUUUAAUGUUUGAUGUUCUAACGUUGGCCCGUAAUCCGGGUUGCGGACAGUGUCUGGUGGGUAGUUUGACUGGGGCGGUCUCCUCCUAAAGAGUAACGGAGGAGCACGAAGGUUGGCUAAUCCUGGUCGGACAUCAGGAGGUUAGUGCAAUGGCAUAAGCCAGCUUGACUGCGAGCGUGACGGCGCGAGCAGGUGCGAAAGCAGGUCAUAGUGAUCCGGUGGUUCUGAAUGGAAGGGCCAUCGCUCAACGGAUAAAAGGUACUCCGGGGAUAACAGGCUGAUACCGCCCAAGAGUUCAUAUCGACGGCGGUGUUUGGCACCUCGAUGUCGGCUCAUCACAUCCUGGGGCUGAAGUAGGUCCCAAGGGUAUGGCUGUUCGCCAUUUAAAGUGGUACGCGAGCUGGGUUUAGAACGUCGUGAGACAGUUCGGUCCCUAUCUGCCGUGGGCGCUGGAGAACUGAGGGGGGCUGCUCCUAGUACGAGAGGACCGGAGUGGACGCAUCACUGGUGUUCGGGUUGUCAUGCCAAUGGCACUGCCCGGUAGCUAAAUGCGGAAGAGAUAAGUGCUGAAAGCAUCUAAGCACGAAACUUGCCCCGAGAUGAGUUCUCCCUGAGACUUAGAGUCUCCUGAAGGAACGUUGAAGACGACGACGUUGAUAGGCCGGGUGUGUAAGCGCAGCGAUGCGUUGAGCUAACCGGUACUAAUGAACCGUGAGGCUUAACCUU